Molecule: long non-coding RNA, 935 nt
Organism: Silurus meridionalis
Lineage: Eukaryota; Metazoa; Chordata; Actinopteri; Siluriformes; Siluridae
Exons: 3
Source: RefSeq, a predicted model, not a curated record
UGGAGUGCCUUGGUGUGUGUUUUUCCUGACAGAAGUUCAGAUAUUAGACUUGAUCCAUGACACACAGCUCGGUUGUCCUGCACAACAUGGAUAGUACUCUUAAGAUUUUGCUUCUGGCAGCCUGACUCUGGUGGUUUCUGCUCAGACUUUUGAUAACUACAGAAGUUUGUCUGAUAAUUUACGAACACAUAUAGACAAGGCUCUGAAAAAGGCGAACGAAAACUUUGGAUCGCGUUAUCAUGUUGCUUUUCAUUCAAUCAAAGGAGAACCGAAGCUUAGGAAGAAAGACUUGUAUGUAAAUGUCCUUCUGCAAGUCACAAAAUGCAAGAAGUCUUCAGACAACGCAUAUGAGCACCGAGAUGAAUGCACUACAAGAUUCAAUAAAUCGCUGCUGAUUGAUUGUCUUGUGUGUAAGACAGAAGAUAGUGAAGAUCUGGUGGACUGUGCUUGGUGGUUUGAUGUCAUAAAGGUAUGUAUACUGCAGAAGAUUUAUAAAUACACACCACAACCAAAAUAUACACAUCAUCAGUACAGGUUAUAGAACUUAUGUGUCUAAUAAAUGAUAAUUGUUUCUUUUACAGAAGUGGCCUGAUACACGGAAUAAAUGUCUUAAAUAUUUAAUUGGAAGUCCAGUUGCACACUGAGAAGCACAAAAUUAAAACUAUAUUCUAAAAGUGUAAAACAAUAUAUACAAGUAAAAAGUGAUUUGCUUGAGUAGUUCAUAAAGUUCUAGACAAAUGAUGUUCAAGUUUAUGAGACAAUGUUUAGUCAUGAUUACAUACAGCAGUAAAUAAUGGACAUUACAAAAGGAGCUUUUUCUGACUUCAGGUUUUUAUGUUAUGUAUCGCUCAUGCUUAUCCCGGUACGUGCUUUCCCACCGGCACUCUCUCAACGGCUGCUCUUUUCUUCCCAAUGCGCAUCGCGGAUUCCCCCGA